UUGUACAUCACAAGCAGAGUCUCAUUCAGAAAGGUGACAGCCACAGUCUCUCCUGUGCAUCCAUCCCAUCAGGGUCUCCCUGAGGGCCUUGACCCCUGGAUUGGUCUGCAUUUCCCUGAUUUUUAAUGAAGUUCAUUUGUUUGGGGGCCAUUUGUAAUUUGGCUAUGAAUUGCUUAUUCAUGUCUUUCACCCAUUUUUCUGAGAGAUGGUCUUUUUCUUUGUUUAAAAAAAUAAAUACUAACACUUUGCUUCUUAAAAAAAAAAAAGAGUUGACUU
This 276-nucleotide long non-coding RNA is filed under the name Marmota monax (woodchuck). Lineage: Eukaryota; Metazoa; Chordata; Mammalia; Rodentia; Sciuridae. The record is from RNAcentral.